GCUACCGUCAAGGAAAACCGAGCACUCAAGCAGUCUUUCAAUGACAUUCAGUUAACGGAGAACGUAGUUUGAAGCUUAAACGCAUUGAGGAAAUGACAAUGCAACAGUUCCAGAGGGAAAGUCAGGUUCACGAACAAAAAGGUUACACCGAUUAAGGAAUGUCGGGUUUUCAAAAUUCAGUGGUGAAGAUGUGGGGGAUGAAUCUACUUCUAGACUGUAGAUGAAAUGCCGUACACUUUCAAGCUAAGUCGUGUUAAUAUAAUUGGCGUGGUAUUUUGUGCAUAAUGGAAAAGUUCGAGGGUCAGUUCUGGACGGUUGUAAUUUUGAAAGCAGCUGUGUUGGAAGCUCGAAACUUGAGGGAUUGGAUGCUAGUUGUUCUAUAGUUCAAGGGUUAACGAGAAAAACUGCUGUAUCAACUGUAAAAUCAUAUACCAAUUUCAAGUACAAAAAACCAAUGCAAGAAACUCAUCACAUUGUGACAUAACACAAAAAUUACAAACUUGUAGACCAGAAAACAAAACAAGUUUAAACUCAAAAAAGCAUAAAUAAAGUGCAGAAAAUAUAAAGCCAGAUGUAACCCUAUGACAUGGAUCAUAGAUGACG
RNAcentral lists this long non-coding RNA (603 nucleotides) under Helianthus annuus (common sunflower). RNAcentral's name for it is "sRNA HanXRQr2_Chr09g0379391". The record is from RNAcentral. Lineage: Eukaryota; Viridiplantae; Streptophyta; Magnoliopsida; Asterales; Asteraceae.